Molecule: ribosomal RNA, 202 nt
Filed under: uncultured eukaryote
Lineage: Eukaryota
Description: partial large subunit ribosomal RNA
Rfam family: Eukaryotic large subunit ribosomal RNA
Source: RNAcentral
AUAUCACUAAGCGGAGGAAAGGAAACUAACGAGGAUUCCUCUAGUAACGGCGAGUGAAUGGGGAAAAGCCCAGCGCUGAAUCCGUCGGCCUCUGGCCGUUCGGACCUGUAGCGUAUAGUCGCAGCCGUCCGUCGCUAGCGAUCACCCUAAGUUCUCUUGACUGAGACUAUUGUCCAAAGAAGGUGCCAGGCCUGUGAGUGGA